UCGAAACUUACUGUGCGUCGAAGGCCAAACCGGCAGGCCGUACGCACGUUCAAUAGAUAAGUGGGAAAUAUUCGCGGUGGAAGCGGAAAUGAGUUUUCCGACAGGAGAGCCACGGAAGCGAUAUCCUGCCACUUUGAUGAUGGGUGAUUUUGCUGCGUAUUCUUUCGCGUUGGUACGAGUGAGGCUUCCGCAUGGAAUUAUAGUUACCGUUCUUCGGGGAAACCACAUCCAUGCACCGUUUGAUCGCAGCUCGGCAACACUGGUCAAACAGGGUGAUUUUUACACCACAAUGGAAGAUGGGGGUCAAACUAGCUCUUCAGCAAAAUGCCGAAAAAUUAAACAUGAGCGCAAUAUCGCCGCGAUCGAUAAUGUCGGGAAAAAACGCCGCAAUACUUAUGAUAUCGAGGUGUUGGAACCUGAUUAUACGGACCAGUUGAACAGCGGUUUGGGCAUCCUGUCGAGAUCUUCCAGUGUCUGAAUACUUCACAACAGUGUCGAAUCCGAGUUGUAUGUAGUAAUUGGAAUGAUCUUCUGACGUCAGCUCUCAUAAGCAAUUGAACCAGUCUGGAGUAUGGAUACCUGUCAGCGGAAAAAUCAGCCGACGAAGAGUAUCUGAACGCCGCCAGCAUCUGUCACCGCUGGAGUAAACUGGUCACCGUCACGAACUCACCGCGAUUGAUACAUUUCAAACACCAAUUACCAACCAUGAAUGCCGCCGUCUUUCACCGCAUCG
Long non-coding RNA from Paramacrobiotus metropolitanus, 733 nucleotides. RefSeq lists it as uncharacterized. The transcript has 3 exons. The record is from RefSeq and is a predicted model, not a curated record. NCBI's taxonomy places the organism in Eukaryota, Metazoa, Tardigrada, Eutardigrada, Parachela, Macrobiotidae.